Molecule: ribosomal RNA, 253 nt
Filed under: uncultured bacterium
Lineage: Bacteria
Description: partial 16S ribosomal RNA
Rfam family: Bacterial small subunit ribosomal RNA
Source: RNAcentral
UACGUAGGGCGCAAGCGUUGUUCGGAAUUAUUGGGCGUAAAGAGCUCGUAGGCGGUUUGUCGCGUCUGCUGUGAAAUCCCGAGGCUCAACCUCGGGCUUGCAGUGGGUACGGGCAGACUAGAGUGCGGUAGGGGAGACUGGAAUUCCUGGUGUAGCGGUGGAAUGCGCAGAUAUCAGGAGGGACACCGAUGGCGAAGGCAGGUCUCUGGGCCACAACUGACGCUGAGACGCGAAAGCGUGGGGAGCAAACAGG